UACGGGGGGAGCAAGCGUUGUUCGGAUUUACUGGGCGUAAAGGGCGCGUAGGCGGUCAGCACAAGUCAGUUGUGAAAUCUCCGAGCUUAACUCGGAAAGGUCAACUGAUACUGUGCGACUAGAGUGCGGAAGGGGCAACUGGAAUUCUUGGUGUAGCGGUGAAAUGCGUAGAUAUCAAGUGGAACACCAGUGGCGAAGGCGAGUCUCUGGACAUUUCCUGACGCUGAGGCACGAAAGCCAGGGGAGCAAACGGG
Molecule: ribosomal RNA, 254 nt
Filed under: uncultured bacterium
Lineage: Bacteria
Description: partial 16S ribosomal RNA
Rfam family: Bacterial small subunit ribosomal RNA
Source: RNAcentral